GACAGUGUGAGGAAGUGGUUUGAGCACUGGACUAUGAAUCUGGAGACAAAGGUUCGAAUCCCUGCUCUGCCA
This 72-nucleotide transfer RNA is filed under the name Phrynosoma platyrhinos (Desert horned lizard). RNAcentral's name for it is "tRNA-OTHER". Lineage: Eukaryota; Metazoa; Chordata; Lepidosauria; Squamata; Phrynosomatidae. The record is from RNAcentral.